CCAGGCUGCUGCACAUGGCCACAGCAGGCCCAGCCGUUACGCCGAGCAUCAUGGUGAGGAUGGUCAGGAUGAUUAACACACACUAACUGUGCAGCAACAGAUUGUGAGCUUCUGUCUCUGACUUUACACUCACAAGGUGAGUAGUUAUAUAUGUAGGAGUGUCUGAUAGAGUGGAGGACAGUGAGAGAGUAGUAGACACAGUGUUUAAAAACUCCAGCAGCACUGCUGUCAAUUGUACCAGUGCAACACACGUC
RNAcentral lists this long non-coding RNA (254 nucleotides) under Astyanax mexicanus (Mexican tetra). Its description in RNAcentral is "lncRNA (ENSAMXG00005008773.1)". The record is from RNAcentral. Lineage: Eukaryota; Metazoa; Chordata; Actinopteri; Characiformes; Acestrorhamphidae.